Molecule: unclassified non-coding RNA, 229 nt
Filed under: Glomeraceae sp.
Lineage: Eukaryota; Fungi; Glomeromycota; Glomeromycetes; Glomerales; Glomeraceae
Description: partial contains 5.8S ribosomal RNA and internal transcribed spacer 2
Rfam family: 5.8S ribosomal RNA (bases 1-71)
Source: RNAcentral
GUGAAUCAUCAAAUUUUUGAACGCAAAUUGCGCUUCCUGGCAUCUCGGGAAGUAUGCCUGUUUGAGGGUAAGUAUUAACAAAAAAUCGGUUUGGUUGCAAAUUGUGACGUUUCAGGAGUUUGGGCUAUCUUAACUAUUUUGGUUAAGGGGCUUAAAAUUGACCUUUUUUGUGCAUUUUUAGAUGUACAAUAUUUUUUUUUUUUUUAUUAUAUUCUUAAUGCAAAAAUUU